ACUCAAAUGAAUAGACGGGGGCCCGCACAAGCAGCGGAGCGUGCGGUUCAAUUCGAUGGUACGCGAAGAACCUUACCCAGACUUGACAUGCAAGUGGUAGAGGACCGAAAGGCGAUCGACCCGCAAGGGAGCUUGCACAGGUGUUGCACGGCCGUCGUCAGCUCGUGUCGUGAGAUGUUGGGUUAAGUCCCGCAACGAGCGCAACCCUCGGGGUCUGUUGUAUCUCUCAGACUCCACUGCCGAGAGAAACUCGGAGGAAGGUGGGGACGAAGUCAGGUCAGCGUGGCCUUUAUGUCUGGGGCAACACGCACGCUACAAUCGCCGGUCACAGCGGGUCGCGACAGCGUGAGCUGAAGCUAAUCCCAUAAAACCGGCGUCAGUUCAGAUCGGAGGCUGCAACUCGCCUCCGUGAAGUCGGAGUUGCUAGUAACCGCGGGACAGUACACCGCGGUGAAUAUGUUCCCGGGCCUUGUACACACCGCCCGU
RNAcentral lists this ribosomal RNA (486 nucleotides) under uncultured bacterium. RNAcentral describes it as "partial 16S ribosomal RNA". It matches the Rfam family "Bacterial small subunit ribosomal RNA", at positions 899 to 1397 of the family's 1533-position model. The record is from RNAcentral.